CUAGUAUAUAUUUUGAUAUAACAGUGCAUAUCAACUUAUGUAUCGUUACUUUAGAUGACUAGUAUAUAUCUAGAUAGAGCUGAUGUCAUUACAGAGCUCCAGAUAAGCUGCGUAUUUGCGUGAUCACGCAAUAAAAAUAAUAAAAAACCCAAUACAAUUGCCCAUUGCAGGGUUCAAAAACCCAAUUAAUUCAAAGGAAAACCCAAUUAUAUGCCAAAACUAUGAGAUCUUAACGCUUUUACUUGCUAUCGUUUGCGUUAUUUACCCUUAUCUGAUUACAGUCGUAGCGUAAAUCUAUUUUAUAAUAUUUAUAAUUGGAAAUGUCCUAUCGUUCAAAAAUAGAGCCCUGCAUCAAGUAGCUGAAAUGGGUCCCUGUUGAAAUUCUCCGUUGCUCAACAGGUACACGUGAAUAUGAAAAUAUUUCGAUCUUCUCGGUGUUUAUCCACUUAGCGUGUGUCAUUUGUCAUAUUUUUUCGAAUUGCUCGGGACUUAUCAUAACAUAC
This 503-nucleotide long non-coding RNA is filed under the name Mytilus galloprovincialis (Mediterranean mussel). The record is from RNAcentral. Lineage: Eukaryota; Metazoa; Mollusca; Bivalvia; Mytilida; Mytilidae.